AGGAGACUGGGGGAAUGUUCAAGAAACCGAAGCUCGGCGCCAAGUCUCAGUCUCAGGAGGGUCUGUGUGUGAACGGCGACCACCCCGGCAGUGCUGAUGAUCUCUCUGAAGUCUUCAAGGGGGAGCGUGGCAGCAAAGCUCCUGAAGAACCCAUUCUUGUCCUCAGUUCAGGACAAAGAAAAAUCUGAUGAGUCGGCAAACGCAGAGGAGAAAACGUCUUCUGCAGAAAAGCACAAGUCCAAACAG
Thalassophryne amazonica is the source of this 246-nucleotide long non-coding RNA. RefSeq lists it as uncharacterized. The transcript has 4 exons. The record is from RefSeq and is a predicted model, not a curated record. Lineage: Eukaryota; Metazoa; Chordata; Actinopteri; Batrachoidiformes; Batrachoididae.